AGGGGAUCCAUGCCUGGAGAUGACCUGUGUCAUCAGGGCAGAUGGGGCCUUUGUGGAACAGUUGUUUUGGAACUAGAGCUGGUUGGCUGGUUGGUUUUGGUAAGUCUAAAUGCAGAAGAAAUCAUAUUGCUAUAUAGUAUAUUGUUUAAUGGUUAAUUAACCUUUUCUUUAAAAAACUUUUGUUUCUGGUGUGAAUUUGCAUGGCAGGCAUCUGCCUUCGGGUCUCAUUGUUGCUUGUACCCUGUGCUGGGCCCUCCGUGUGUCAGACUGAGCUUUCCAAGGCUGUUGCAUAGGUGUAUUUCCAGUUCUGUAACCUUCCUCAUGCCUGUGCUUUGACUCUCCUCCUGCUUUUUAACACCUUCCUUGAUCUGUAGAUACCUGAAUUACACUGAAAGAUUUUUUCUGAAGUGCACUCCAGAUGAACAAUUCAGGCAGACCCUGCUGCAGACUGCAUUAAACAGGAGAUCUCACAGGUUUCCAUUGGUUUCCAUCUAAUGAUGUGCUAGCCCAUCGUUAGGAUUUCCUUAAUCCCUAGCACAGACAUACUGGACCUAAAGACAGACAGAAGGUAAGGAUCAGUGGUGUUAGGGACCUGCCCACACCUCUCUGUUUGCAGAAGAAUUGUCUUGACUGGUGAGACUGGACUGCAUUGAGUAGUAUAGAGGGAAUGACUUAGGGGAGUACUAAUGCUGUUCAAGGUUACUGUUCUUACCAGAAACAAGUAAUAGAAAUGUUAACAGGAAAGUUCUCUGGAGCAUAAUAGCUUUACAUCACUUCAUCUUCUGACUGGUAGUCAGAGCAACAGCACUACCAGACAGGGGAGAAGGCUUAGGGAUGGCACAAGGAAAGACUCAGGAUACAACUUGAACUGCAAACUGGGAGACUUUUCCAGCAUAGGAGAGCUUCCCAUAUGUCAUACAGUGCAUUGCCUCCAAAACAAUAUUUUUUACGAGAAUAGAUUUCUGUCAUUUUGACUUCUGGAACCAGCUUAUUGCAGGAUUAUGUGGAUACCAGCACUGGCACAAAGGAUGCAGUAGGAGGGGUGGAGGACUACAGGACAACUUCCUUCAGGUCACUUAUAAUACACCCUUCAGAUGGGGGAGAUGAAAUAAUAGCCAGAGAAGGAUGGGUGCGGGGUGUAGGAACUUCUGAUUCUAUCUGCUAGUCCAAACAUAAUCUGAAAGUAAGCACCUAAGCUUGCUUAAAAAUAAAACGUGAAAAACUAAGCCCUCCAGAGACCCAAAAUCUGACCCAAAUCUAACUCUGCAUGUGGUAUGUCUAAAGCACUUUAUAAAUCUCUUAACCCAAAUAUGUUGCUAUCUGAACUGGAAAGACUUUGAAAUGCAAUGCCUUUGAGUAUCCAGGAGAGCUAUUUGUGCACACAUCUUUAUAUGCUAGUUUAUAGGAAUAUUGUUCUUAUAUAUAAGGACAUUGUAAUAUUAAACUUAACCUGUGUUACUGAGCGAUACUGGGAUUAUGUUACCUUUAUUGCAGUGCUACACAAAAUAAUUCACUUGUCCUUAUUUUCACUGAUUUAGAGGCUACAAC
This is a long non-coding RNA of Gallus gallus (chicken), 1548 nucleotides long. The record is from Ensembl. Lineage: Eukaryota; Metazoa; Chordata; Aves; Galliformes; Phasianidae.